Molecule: ribosomal RNA, 1475 nt
Filed under: metagenome
Description: bacterial SSU rRNA
Rfam family: Bacterial small subunit ribosomal RNA
Source: RNAcentral
AGAGUUUGAUCCUGGCUCAGGAUGAACGCUAGCGGGAGGCCUAACACAUGCAAGCCGAGCGGUAUAGAUUCUUCGGAAUCUAGAGAGCGGCGUACGGGUGCGGAACACGUGUGCAACCUACCUUUAUCAGGGGGAUAGCCUUUCGAAAGGAAGAUUAAUACCCCAUAAUAUAUUGACUGGCAUCAGUCGAUAUUGAAAACUCCGGUGGAUAGAGAUGGGCACGCGCAAGAUUAGAUAGUUGGUAGGGUAACGGCCUACCAAGUCAGUGAUCUUUAGGGGGCCUGAGAGGGUGAUCCCCCACACUGGUACUGAGACACGGACCAGACUCCUACGGGAGGCAGCAGUGAGGAAUAUUGGACAAUGGGUGAGAGCCUGAUCCAGCCAUCCCGCGUGAAGGACGACGGCCCUAUGGGUUGUAAACUUCUUUUGUAUAGGGAUAAACCUACUCUCGUGAGAGUAGCUGAAGGUACUAUACGAAUAAGCACCGGCUAACUCCGUGCCAGCAGCCGCGGUAAUACGGAGGGUGCAAGCGUUAUCCGGAUUUAUUGGGUUUAAAGGGUCCGUAGGCGGAUCUGUAAGUCAGUGGUGAAAUCUCAUAGCUUAACUAUGAAACUGCCAUUGAUACUGCAGGUCUUGAGUAAAGUAGAAGUGGCUGGAAUAAGUAGUGUAGCGGUGAAAUGCAUAGAUAUUACUUAGAACACCAAUUGCGAAGGCAGGUCACUAUGUUUUAACUGACGCUGAUGGACGAAAGCGUGGGGAGCGAACAGGAUUAGAUACCCUGGUAGUCCACGCCGUAAACGAUGCUAACUCGUUUUUGGGCUUUAGGGUUCAGAGACUAAGCGAAAGUGAUAAGUUAGCCACCUGGGGAGUACGUUCGCAAGAAUGAAACUCAAAGGAAUUGACGGGGGCCCGCACAAGCGGUGAAUUAUGUGGUUUAAUUCGAUGAUACGCGAGGAACCUUACCAAGGCUUAAAUGGGAAUUGACAGGUUUAGAAAUAGACUUUUCUUCGGACAAUUUUCAAGGUGCUGCAUGGUUGUCGUCAGCUCGUGCCGUGAGGUGUUAGGUUAAGUCCUGCAACGAGCGUAACCCCUGUCACUAGUUGCCAUCAUUCAGUUGGGGACUCUAGUGAGACUGCCUACGCAAGUAGAGAGGAAGGUGGGGAUGACGUCAAAUCAUCACGGCCCUUACGCCUUGGGCCACACACGUAAUACAAUGGCCAGUACAGAGGGCAGCUACCAGGCGACUGGAUGCGAAUCUCGAAAGCUGGUCUCAGUUCGGAUUGGAGUCUGCAACUCGACUCUAUGAAGCUGGAAUCGCUAGUAAUCGCAUAUCAGCCAUGAUGCGGUGAAUACGUUCCCGGGCCUUGUACACACCGCCCGUCAAGCCAUGGAAGUUUGGGGUACCUGAAGUCGGUGACCGUAACAGGAGCUGCCUAGGGUAAAACAAGCAACUAGGGCUAAGUCGUAACAAGGUA